AUUGAACGCUGGCGGCAUGCCUUACACAUGCAAGUCGAGCGCCCCGCAAGGGGAGCGGCAGACGGGUGAGUAACACGUGGGAAUCUACCCAUCCCUACGGAACAACUCCGGGAAACUGGAGCUAAUACCGUAUACGCCCUUCGGGGGAAAGAUUUAUCGGGGAGGGAUGAGCCCGCGUUGGAUUAGCUAGUUGGUGGGGUAAAGGCCUACCAAGGCGACGAUCCAUAGCUGGUCUGAGAGGAUGAUCAGCCACAUUGGGACUGAGACACGGCCCAAACGCCUACGGGAGGCAGCAGUGGGGAAUAGUGGACGAUGGGCGCAAGCCUGAUCCAGCCAUGCCGCGUGAAUGAUGAAGGCCUUAGGGUUGUAAAGUUCUUUCACCGAUGAAGAUAAUGACGGUAGUCGGAGAAGAAGCCCCGGCUAACUUCGUGCCAGCAGCCGCCGUAA
RNAcentral lists this ribosomal RNA (447 nucleotides) under uncultured bacterium. RNAcentral's name for it is "partial 16S ribosomal RNA". It matches the Rfam family "Bacterial small subunit ribosomal RNA", at positions 30 to 523 of the family's 1533-position model. The record is from RNAcentral.